UAAGGAAUCUUCCACAAUGGGGGCAACCCUGAUGGAGCAACGCCGCGUGCAGGAUGAAGGCCUUAGGGUCGUAAACUGCUUUUGUUAGCGAAGAAUAUGACGGUAACUAACGAAUAAGGGUCGGCUAACUACGUGCCAGCAGCCGCGGUCAUACGUAGGACCCAAGCGUUAUCCGGAGUGACUGGGCGUAAAGAGUUGCGUAGGCGGUAAUUUAAGCAGAUAGUGAAAUCAUGUGGCUCAACCAUUAUGACUAUUAUCUGAACUGGAUUACUCGAGAAUAGUAGAGGUACCUGGAAUUCCCUGUGUAGGAGUGAAAUCCGUAGAUAUAGGGAGGAACACCAAUGGCGUAGGCAGGGUACUGGACUAUUUCUGACGCUAAGGCACGAAAGCGUGGGGAGCGAACCGGAUUAGAUACCCCCGUAGUCC
RNAcentral lists this ribosomal RNA (426 nucleotides) under uncultured bacterium. Its description in RNAcentral is "bacterial SSU rRNA". It matches the Rfam family "Bacterial small subunit ribosomal RNA", at positions 355 to 796 of the family's 1533-position model. The record is from RNAcentral.